Carassius gibelio (silver crucian carp) is the source of this 1811-nucleotide long non-coding RNA. RefSeq lists it as uncharacterized. Lineage: Eukaryota; Metazoa; Chordata; Actinopteri; Cypriniformes; Cyprinidae. The record is from RefSeq and is a predicted model, not a curated record. The transcript has 3 exons.
CUGACAGGCUUUCCACGUAGCCUGAUUAAAGGGAAAUGUAAGUAUGAAGUCGCCAACACGACAAGGAGGGACACCUCUGUCCUGAGUCACGCGGUUCCACGGGACGGCUGGAGCCUUGAGUUUAUAAAAACAUCAUCCUGAUGGUACAAGGGAAAUAUCCUUCCCAGAUGGCACAGUUAAGAUUCUCCACUCUGAUGGUCGAGAUGAGAGCAUUUUUCCAGAUGGGACCGUUGUCAAGAUAUCACAACAUGGGGAAAAGGUGGUGGAGUUUGCUAAUGGGCAGAGAGAGAUUCAUACUUCACAGUACAAGCGAAGGAUGUACCCGGAUGGAACGGUUAAAACACUCUACACGAAUGGGAGGCAAGAAACAAAGUUCUCAUCUGGGAGAGUUCGCAUUAAGAACAAUGAAGGCAUCAUUAUAAUGGACAAAAAAUGAACUUCUAAAAAACAUUUUCAUGUUAUUUAUUUAUUGUUGUUUUUUUAUUGACAGAAUUUAUAGUAACUAUCGUUUAGCAUCUUUCCCUUACCACAUAUUGAAAAAAUACUUUUUUGGAGUUUCAGGUGCUGUUUUGCAUUUUAUUUAUGGUGAGUACUAUAGACAAAACUCUACUGAAGCCAUAAUCAGGAAGCAUUAAUGCAAUUUGUUGAAUAUUCUUUAUUAUGAUUUCAACUGGCUAAAAUCAUCUAAACCUUUUUUUUAACUAAAGAUAUCAAUAAACUUUAUGAUAAUCGGAUGAACUAAGCCAGUUUAUUUUUACAUGUACUGACAGCAGGCGUCUUGUAUUUCUAAGUUUCUCUCAGCAUGAACACAUUUGAUACAGCAUGCAGGUGUAGACUUGUUACCCUCUGAACUAGCGCUGACCUUGUAUUACAUUAAAACACUCUGGUUUCAGUAGAGGAACAUUCCUGAAAUAGUAAAGAAGAGCUGGUAACAUUGUUAACUUUAACCCCACUGUAGGAACAGUUUGGGGACUGUAGGAACAGUUUAUGUCAUUUUUGGUCUUUAUUUUAUUUACAAUAAGCCAUACAUUAUUAUUGAAUAAUACAUCAAUUUAAUCAAAUAUCGUCAUGUUACUUUUCAAUAUUAUAGAAAUUGGCACUUAGAGAAGGUUUAAACCUGUGUCCAUUUACUGUUGUUUUCAAAGGGAGGAUUUUUAACCUUAGUUUAAUUUCUAGGUUAUGUAUUUUUCCUGUUAUGCCUUUAAAAUACUUUUUUUUACGUUUAUUAAAAUGUUAAAAUAUGUGUCAGCUUAUCUGUCUUGGUGCUAUGUUUUGUGGUUGUAGAUGUUUUAGUCUGACCUUAGUAUAUGAACAUGAAAUGAACAUUACUAUUCAAAAGUUUGGGGUCAGGAUGUUUGUUUUUGUUUUUAAAGAAAUUUAUACUUUUAAUAAACAAGCAUGCAUUAAAUUGAAUUAAAGUGACAAUAAAGAUAUUUAUAAUGUUGCAAAAGGUUUCUGUUUCAAAAUUUCUUUAGGAUAAAAGGAUCUCAAAGGAUUAAAAAAAAUCAUAUUUCCACAAAAUAUAGAAAAAUAUAGCAGCACAAAAACAUUUAACAAUAAGAGGAAAUUAUUCUGGAGCAACAAAUCAGAAUAUUAGAAUAAUUUCUGAAAGAUCAUGUGACACUGAAGACUAAAGUCAUGACUGCUGUACAUUCAGCUUUACCAUUACAUGAAUAAAUUACAUGCAUAAUUUUUUUUUUAUAAUAUAUAAAAAUUGGAAAUGGUUAUUUUAAAUUGUAAUAUUUCACAUUAUUUACUGUGAUUUUGUGCAAAUAAAUGCAGCCUUGAUGAGCAUAAGAGACUUCUUAAAA